AAAAACAAUAAAUCAAAACUUUCAACAACGGAUCUCUUGGUUCUGGCAUCGAUGAAGAACGCAGCGAAAUGCGAUAAGUAAUGUGAAUUGCAGAAUUCAGUGAAUCAUCGAAUCUUUGAACGCACAUUGCGCCCGCCAGUAUUCUGGCGGGCAUGC
Molecule: ribosomal RNA, 156 nt
Filed under: Calonectria reteaudii
Lineage: Eukaryota; Fungi; Ascomycota; Sordariomycetes; Hypocreales; Nectriaceae
Description: 5.8S ribosomal RNA
Rfam family: 5.8S ribosomal RNA (bases 17-156)
About the family: 5.8S ribosomal RNA (5.8S rRNA) is a component of the large subunit of the eukaryotic ribosome. It is transcribed by RNA polymerase I as part of the 45S precursor that also contains 18S and 28S rRNA.
Source: RNAcentral